ACGGGUGAGUAACGCGUAGGCAACCUGCCUCACGGAGAGGGACAGCCUCGGGAAACCGGGAUUAAGACCUCAUGUUGCGGUGUAUUCACAUGGAUAUACCGUGAAAGAUUUAUCGCCGUGAGAUGGGCCUGCGUCUGAUUAUGUUAGUUGGUGGGGUAACGGCCUACCAAGACUACGAUCAGUAGCCGACCUGAGAGGGUAAUCGGCCACAUUGGAACUGAGACACGGUCCAAACUCCUACGGGAGGCAGCAGUGGGGAAUAUUGCACAAUGGGGGAAACCCUGAUGCAGCAACGCCGCGUGAGCGAUGACGGUCCUAUGGAUUGUAAAGCUCUGAUCUGAGGGAAGAAACAAAUGACGGUACCUCAGGAGAAAGCCCCGGCUAACUACGUGCCAGCAGCCGCGGUAAUACGUAGGGGGCAAGCGUUAUCCGGAUUUAUUGGGCGUAAAGAGUGCGUAGGUGGCUGUCUAAGCGAGAGGUGAAAGGCAUCGGCUCAACCGGUGUAAGCCUUUCGAACUGGGCGGCUUGAGUGCAGGAGAGGAAAGCGGAACUCCUAGUGUAGCGGUGAAAUGCGUAGAUAUUAGGAAGAACACCGGCGGCGAAGGCGGCUUUCUGGACUGUAACUGACACUGAGGCACGAAAGCGUGGGGAGCAAACAGG
Molecule: ribosomal RNA, 660 nt
Filed under: uncultured bacterium
Lineage: Bacteria
Description: bacterial SSU rRNA
Rfam family: Bacterial small subunit ribosomal RNA
Source: RNAcentral